GACGAACGCUGGCGGCGUGCUUAACACAUGCAAGUCGAACGGAAAGGCUCCAGCUUGCUGGAGUACUCGAGUGGCGAACGGGUGAGUAACACGUGGGUAAUCUGCCCUGCACUCUGGGAUAGGCCUGGGAAACUGGGUCUAAUACUGGAUAUGACCUUUCUCCUUAUGGGGUUUGGUGGAAAGUUUUUCGGUGUAGGAUGAGCCCGCGGCCUAUCAGCUUGUUGGUGGGGUGAUGGCCUACCAAGGCGACGACGGGUAGCCGGCCUGAGAGGGUGAUCGGCCACAUUGGGACUGAGAUACGGCCCAGACUCCUACGGGAGGCAGCAGUGGGGAAUAUUGCACAAUGGGCGGAAGCCUGAUGCAGCGACGCCGCGUGAGGGAUGACGGCCUUCGGGUUGUAAACCUCUUUCAGCAGGGACGAGGCGUAAGUGACGGUACCUGCAGAAGAAGCACCGGCUAACUAUGUG
Molecule: ribosomal RNA, 467 nt
Filed under: uncultured bacterium
Lineage: Bacteria
Description: partial 16S ribosomal RNA
Rfam family: Bacterial small subunit ribosomal RNA
Source: RNAcentral